This 641-nucleotide long non-coding RNA is filed under the name Rattus norvegicus (Norway rat). RNAcentral's name for it is "long non-coding RNA NONRATT029719". Lineage: Eukaryota; Metazoa; Chordata; Mammalia; Rodentia; Muridae. The record is from RNAcentral.
GGCCUGUGUGUCGGCGGCGCCGGGGUUCGCGGGAGCUGCUUGAAGGCUCGGCCGCCGGGAGGAGGCCGCGGCCACGCUUCUUGGAAGCUACGGAGUGACUUCCUUAAAGAAUCAUGAAUUCACACCAUGUUGUGCUAACUCUAGCCUCCCUGAUGUUCCUGAUGUGCCUCCCUGUGUCACAGAGCUGUAACAAAGCACUCUGUGCCAGCGAUGUGAGCAAGUGCCUCAUUCAGGCAGCAGGCAGAAAGAGUGCAACUGGUCCUACCAUGGGCUUUUGAAACGUCCAACCCCAGUGUCACACGUCCUCCAACAGUAGCACCUAGUAAUCCUGGAUACUCCACCAACUGGGAGCUGAGCAUGCAAACGUGUGAGCCUGCGGGGCCAUUUUUGUUCUGUCCACCUCAGAAUCCUGCCCUGACAUUUUGAAAUGUAAACAGUUAAGUCAAGAUACUUGGAUACUUUGUGGAUCCUUCGAAGGGGAAUCAGUUUCGAUCGUGUACAUUACUUUGAUUGCUAUAGCUUUGUAGUAUGUCUAAUUUUGCUCUUUUUAAGACUUUGUUCUUGAUUCUGGAUCCCUUAAAUUUGCAUAUGAAUUUUGGAGUCAUCUUGUUAAUUUCUGUAAUAAAACUUGCUAGGAAUUG